RNAcentral lists this ribosomal RNA (447 nucleotides) under uncultured bacterium. RNAcentral's name for it is "bacterial SSU rRNA". It matches the Rfam family "Bacterial small subunit ribosomal RNA", at positions 29 to 522 of the family's 1533-position model. The record is from RNAcentral.
AACGAACGCUGGCGGCAGGCCUAACACAUGCAAGUCGAACGCACCGCAAGGUGAGUGGCGCACGGGUGAGUAACACGUGGGAAUGUACCCUUUGGUUCGGAAUAACGUUUGGAAACGAACGCUAAUACCGGAUGAGCCCUGUGGGGGAAAGAUUUAUCGCCAAAGGAGCAGCCCGCGUCUGAUUAGCUAGUUGGUGGGGUAAAGGCCUACCAAGGCGACGAUCAGUAGCUGGUCUGAGAGGAUGAUCAGCCACACUGGGACUGAGACACGGCCCAGACUCCUACGGGAGGCAGCAGUGGGGAAUAUUGGACAAUGGGCGGAAGCCUGAUCCAGCCAUGCCGCGUGAGUGAUGAAGGCCUUCGGUUGUAAAGCUCUUUCGUCACGCGACGAUGAUGACGGUAGCGUGAGAAGAAGCCCCGGCUAAACUUCGUGCCAGCAGCCGCGUAA